GGUGGAGUUAGGAGUCUAAUUUGAUGUGGUUAGUGGGUAGGAUUCUAUGGGAUAAGGUGGUUAGUGGAUGGAGUGGGGAUCAUUUUAAGUUUAAUUUUUAUUUUAUUUUAUUUUUCAUUUAUUUUUCCCAAAUUUCCUCAUUUUGAUGUUUCUGUCUCUCCUUUAUGUUUACUGUAAAAAAGCUUUCAUUUUCUUCUUCUCUUUCGAUUUUGUCACAAAUCGUUUGCGUAAUUCACUAUGUCUUGGUUUGUGGUAUC
Molecule: long non-coding RNA, 257 nt
Filed under: Gossypium raimondii (Peruvian cotton)
Lineage: Eukaryota; Viridiplantae; Streptophyta; Magnoliopsida; Malvales; Malvaceae
Description: long non-coding RNA (GRAI_LNC000605)
Source: RNAcentral